RNAcentral lists this ribosomal RNA (486 nucleotides) under uncultured bacterium. Its description in RNAcentral is "bacterial SSU rRNA". It matches the Rfam family "Bacterial small subunit ribosomal RNA", at positions 501 to 985 of the family's 1533-position model. The record is from RNAcentral.
CUACGUGCCAGCAGCCGCGGUAAUACGUAGGGUGCGAGCGUUAAUCGGAAUUACUGGGCGUAAAGCGGGCGCAGACGGUUACUUAAGCAGGAUGUGAAAUCCCCGGGCUCAACCUGGGAACUGCGUCCUGAACUGGGUGACUAGAGUGUGUCAGAGGGAGGUAGAAUUCCACGUGUAGCAGUGAAAUGCGUAGAGAUGUGGAGGAAUACCGAUGGCGAAGGCAGCCUCCUGGGAUAACACUGACGUUCAUGCUCGAAAGCGUGGGUAGCAAACAGGAUUAGAUACCCUGGUAGUCCACGCCGUAAACGAUGAGUGCUAGGUGUUAGACCCUUUCCGGGGUUUAGUGCCGCAGCUAACGCAUUAAGCACUCCGCCUGGGGAGUACGACCGCAAGGUUGAAACUCAAAGGAAUUGACGGGGGCCCGCACAAGCGGUGGAGCAUGUGGUUUAAUUCGAAGCAACGCGAAGAACCUUACCAGGUCUUGAC